Molecule: ribosomal RNA, 477 nt
Filed under: uncultured bacterium
Lineage: Bacteria
Description: partial 16S ribosomal RNA
Rfam family: Bacterial small subunit ribosomal RNA
Source: RNAcentral
GACGAACGCUGGCGGCGUGCUUAACACAUGCAAGUCGAACGGUAAGGCCCUUCGGGGUACACGAGUGGCGAACGGGUGAGUAACACGUGGGUGAUCUGCCCUGCACUUCGGGAUAAGCCUGGGAAACUGGGUCUAAUACCGGAUAGGACCACUGCCUGCAUGGGUGGUGGUGGAAAGCUUUUGCGGUGUGGGAUGGGCCUGCGGCCUAUCAGCUUGAUGGUGGGGUGAUGGCCUAGCAAGGCGACAACGGGUAGCCGGCCUGGGAGGGUGACCGGCCACGCGGGGAGUGAGAUACGGCCCAGACGCAUACGGGGGGAAGCAGUGGGGAAUGUGGCAAGAGGGGCGCAAGCCUGAUGCAGCGACACCGCGUAAGGGAUGACCGCCCUCGGGUGGUAACCUCUAUCAGCACCGACGAAGCGUAAGGGACGGUAGGUGCAGAAGAAGGACCGGCCGACUACGUGCCAGCCGCCGCCGUAA